This is a long non-coding RNA of Musca domestica (house fly), 657 nucleotides long. RefSeq lists it as uncharacterized. NCBI's taxonomy places the organism in Eukaryota, Metazoa, Arthropoda, Insecta, Diptera, Muscidae. The transcript has 3 exons. The record is from RefSeq and is a predicted model, not a curated record.
UCGGAAAAUUGACACUUUUUUCAUAUGUUCAAAAAUUUGAAUAUUAAAAGUAACGGUUAUAAAAAAAGUGUUUAUUUUAGUUACUUGGGAUGUCAAAAACUUGGCUUCACCUUUGUUUGGGUGUAAAUAGUGAUCAUAUGGUGUUUACAGUUACAAACACCUGUUGUACUUAGUUCAUCUAUUUUGUAAAGCAAAUCUUGAAAUUAGUGGAGUAGAAAAAAAAAGGUUAAAAAAGUUUAGUCUACAUUUUUGUUGAUUUUAGUUGUGAAAAUGACCACCUCUUUAAAAAACUGUGACAUAUUUUUGGAAUGGUUAGAAGUAAAGGAUCAAAGUAUGUCAUAUGUUCUGGCAAAACUUAAAGAAUUUAUUGAGGAUCGAAUUGGAAGGAAAAUGACGGGCGAAGAACACAUAAAGGUUAAAAAUAUUUGCUACAAAUUGUCUUCUACGUGGAAAAAAUACUAUCGAAAGAGGGAUAAAGUAGAAAUGGUCUUAAAAGAUUGGUUUCUUAUGGAUACGUUUAAAUUUGAUUCGGAACCUGAUAAGUCUACAUCAAGAGGUCGACCACGCAUUAACUUUGAGGAAAGUUCAUGUAGAACAAAAAGGCGACGUGUAGGUGAACUUGUUGCAUCUACUUCGGCGGACAUCAUAACAACAGCU